RNAcentral lists this ribosomal RNA (450 nucleotides) under uncultured bacterium. RNAcentral's name for it is "partial 16S ribosomal RNA". It matches the Rfam family "Bacterial small subunit ribosomal RNA", at positions 354 to 796 of the family's 1533-position model. The record is from RNAcentral.
GUGGGGAAUUUUGGACAAUGGGCGCAAGCCUGACCCAGCAAUGCCGCGUGUGUGAAGAAGGCCUUCGGGUUGUAAAGCACUUUUGGCAGGAAAGAAAUAGUGCGUGCUAAUACCAUGCGCGAAUGACGGUACCUGCAGAAUAAGCACCGGCUAACUACGUGCCAGCAGCCGCGGUAAGACGUAGGGUGCAAGCGUUAAUCGGAAUUACUGGGCGUAAAGCGUGCGCAGGCGGUUUUGUAAGACAGGUGUGAAAUCCCCGGGCUCAACCUGGGAACUGCACUUGUGACUGCAAGGCUAGAGUGUGUCAGAGGGAGGUGGAAUUCCGCGUGUAGCAGUGAAAUGCGUAGAGAUGCGGAGGAACACCGAUGGCGAAGGCAGCCUCCUGGGAUAACACUGACGCUCAGGCACGAAAGCGUGGGGAGCAAACAGGAUUAGAUACCCGUGUAGUCC